RNAcentral lists this ribosomal RNA (644 nucleotides) under uncultured bacterium. Its description in RNAcentral is "bacterial SSU rRNA". It matches the Rfam family "Bacterial small subunit ribosomal RNA", at positions 232 to 885 of the family's 1533-position model. RNAcentral also lists the same sequence under 1 other name. The record is from RNAcentral.
CGCGGCCUAUCAGCUUGUUGGUGGGGUAGUGGCCUACCAAGGCGGCGACGGGUAGCCGGCCUGAGAGGGUGACCGGCCACAUUGGGACUGAGAUACGGCCCAGACUCCUACGGGAGGCAGCAGUGGGGAAUAUUGCACAAUGGGCGCAAGCCUGAUGCAGCAACGCCGCGUGCGGGAUGACGGCCUUCGGGUUGUAAACCGCUUUCAGCAGGGACGAAGCUUUUUGUGACGGUACCUGCAGAAGAAGCACCGGCUAACUACGUGCCAGCAGCCGCGGUGAUACGUAGGGUGCGAGCGUUGUCCGGAUUUAUUGGGCGUAAAGGGCUCGUAGGCGGUUGAUCGCGUCGGAAGUGGAAACUUGAUGCUUAACGUUGAGCGUGCUUUCGAUACGGGUUGACUUGAGGAAGGUAGGGGAGAAUGGAAUUCCUGGUGGAGCGGUGGAAUGCGCAGAUAUCAGGAGGAACACCAGUGGCGAAGGCGGUUCUCUGGACCUUUCCUGACGCUGAGGAGCGAAAGCGUGGGGAGCGAACAGGCUUAGAUACCCUGGUAGUCCACGCUGUAAACGGUGGGUACUAGGUGUGGGGUCCAUUCCACGGAUUCUGUGCCGUAGCUAACGCAUUAAGUACCCCGCCUGGGGAGUACGG